GAUGAACGCUAGCUACAGGCUUAACACAUGCAAGUCGCGGGGUAACAUCUGGGAGAGCUUGCUCUUCCAGGAUGACGACCGGCGCACGGGUGAGUAACGCGUAUCCAACCUGGCCCAUACCACGGGAUAGCCCGUCGAAAGGCGGAUUAAUACCGUAUGCUGUCAUUAAGAUGCAUAUAUUGAUGACGAAAGGACUGGCGGUAUGGGAUGGGGAUGCGUCUGAUUAGUUAGUCGGCGGGGUAACGGCCCACCGAGACGACGAUCAGUAGGGGUUCUGAGAGGAAAGUCCCCCACAUUGGAACUGAGACACGGUCCAAAACUCCUACGGGAGGCAGCAGUGAGGAAUAUUGGUCAAUGGGCGGAAGCCUGAACCAGCCAAGUAGCGUGCAGGACGACGGCCCUAUGGGUUGUAAACUGCUUUUAUAAGGGAAUAAAGUGAGUCUCGUGAGACUUUUUGCAUGUACCUUAUGAAUAAGGACCGGCUAAUUCCGUGCCAGCAGCCG
RNAcentral lists this ribosomal RNA (503 nucleotides) under uncultured bacterium. RNAcentral describes it as "bacterial SSU rRNA". It matches the Rfam family "Bacterial small subunit ribosomal RNA", at positions 28 to 517 of the family's 1533-position model. The record is from RNAcentral.